UGCAGUCGAGGGGCAGCAUCAUCAAAGCUUGCUUUGAUGGAUGGCGACCGGCGCACGGGUGAGUAACACGUAUCCAACCUGCCGACAACACUGGGAUAGCCUUUCGAAAGAAAGAUUAAUACCGGAUGGUAUAGUUUUCCCGCAUGGGAUGAUUAUUAAAGAAUUUCGGUUGUCGAUGGGGAUGCGUUCCAUUAGGCAGUUGGCGGGGUAACGGCCCACCAAACCUACGAUGGAUAGGGGUUCUGAGAGGAAGGUCCCCCACAUUGGAACUGAGACACGGUCCAAACUCCUACGGGAGGCAGCAGUGAGGAAUAUUGGUCAAUGGACGAGAGUCUGAACCAGCCAAGUAGCGUGAAGGAUGACUGCCCUAUGGGUUGUAAACUUCUUUUAUACGGGAAUAAAGUGAGCCACGUGUGGCUUUUUGUAUGUACCGUAUGAAUAAGGAUCGGCUAACUCCGUGCCAGCAGCCGCGGUAAUACGGAGGAUCCGAGCGUUAUCCGGAUUUAUUGGGUUUAAAGGGAGCGUAGGCGGGUUGUUAAGUCAGUUGUGAAAGUUUGCGGCUCAACCGUAAAAUUGCAGUUGAUACUGGCGACCUUGAGUGCAACAGAGGUGGGCGGAAUUCGUGGUGUAGCGGUGAAAUGCUUAGAUAUCACGAAGAACUCCGAUUGCGAAGGCAGCUUACUGGAUUGUAA
Molecule: ribosomal RNA, 692 nt
Filed under: uncultured bacterium
Lineage: Bacteria
Description: bacterial SSU rRNA
Rfam family: Bacterial small subunit ribosomal RNA
Source: RNAcentral